CAGAUAAACUCAGCUCCGAGUAGUUCCCCACUCUUAUCCAAAUUCCGAAAGAGAGACACUCUCUUCUCAAAAUCUCAAAGCAACACUCUCAACUUUGUACAAACAAACGUUAAUGGCAGUUCUUCUACGCUUUCUACACUCUCCAUCUCUAACUCACAACUUCCCCACUGAACAACAACAACUCACACGCACGCCUUUGUCCAAUCUUAGUACCUACAACUACAAACACAAUCUCUCUCACUCCGUUUCCAUUAAAACCAAAAGACGACUUAGUAAUAGCAACUUCGUUUUGCGCUUCUCUUCUUCCACCACCCAAGAACAAGCUCAAGCUCCUUCAUCUUCUUCUUCACCCAAUGUUUCAACCGAAGCCCAAGUAUUGGAACCAGAAACUGAGGAGUUUUCACGAGACAGACUGAUUGCCCAGAACGUCCCUUGGUCUUGUACCGCCGAAGAUGUUCGUACUCUCUUUGAGAAACAUGGGACGGUCCUAGACGUUGAGCUCUCUAUGCAUAACAAGGUCAGAAACAGAGGUUUGGCCUUUGUCACAAUGGGUUCGCCUGAGGAGGCCCUCACGGCUCUCAAUAAUCUCGACUCGUAUGAGUUCGAGGGCCGCACUUUAAAGGUCAAUUAUGCCAGGGCACGAAAGAAGAAACCUUCCCCUCCCCCUGUGCAACCAAAGCCAUUAACAUUCAAUUUGUUUGUAGCAAAUUUGCCAUUUGAAGCAAGGUCUAAAGAUCUCAGAGAAUUCUUUGGUUCAGAGAACAGUAGUCUUGUUUCUGCACAAGUUAUAUUUCAUGAGAAUCCUAGAAAGUCCUCUGGGUAUGGAUUUGUGGCCUUCAAAUACAAGAAAGAUGCUGACGAAGCUCUUUCUUCUUUCCAAGGGAAGAUAUUUAUGGGAAGACCAAUUCGAAUAGCACGUAGUCGACAAUUUGUUAAACUACGAGCAGAAGAGAAUGCAGAGUCUGGAGAUACAUCAACUACAGAAGAGAGUGCAGAGUCUGGAGAUACAUCAACUGAGUUGAACUCUAGUGUGGAGCAAGCAGAUACUGCUGAUGAGAAUGGAAAGUGAAUUUUCGGAGACAGUGAAUUCGCUUCAUUUUCUUCAUUUUUGUGAUUCAGUAGGGAUGUGUGUGCACAAAUGCUUGGAUUUCAUGCUUAAAUCAGUGCAUUUCUCAUAUGGCGAUGCAGAAACCAGUGUAUUAGGGCCAUUCAUUUCCUGGAUGUUCUUAUACACAUUUUAGAUCUGUAUUUUAUUUUAUGUUGAUACUUCUUCCAUGUUCUUUGAUGUUGGCUUACCUAUGCUUAUUUGUUGUAGAUCAUUGCUGGUUUCAUGUGUACAUUUCUCUAUCUUGAUAGUUGAUUCUGUGUCCUCAA
Molecule: RNA transcript, 1374 nt
Organism: Quercus robur (English oak)
Lineage: Eukaryota; Viridiplantae; Streptophyta; Magnoliopsida; Fagales; Fagaceae
Gene name: 28 kDa ribonucleoprotein, chloroplastic
Exons: 5
Source: RefSeq, a predicted model, not a curated record